This 163-nucleotide small nuclear RNA is filed under the name Pogona vitticeps (central bearded dragon). RNAcentral's name for it is "U1 spliceosomal RNA (ENSPVIG00000001089.1)". It matches the Rfam family "U1 spliceosomal RNA". Rfam says of the family: U1 is a small nuclear RNA (snRNA) component of the spliceosome (involved in pre-mRNA splicing). Its 5' end forms complementary base pairs with the 5' splice junction, thus defining the 5' donor site of an intron. There are significant differences in sequence and secondary structure between metazoan and yeast U1 snRNAs, the latter being much longer (568 nucleotides as compared to 164 nucleotides in human). Lineage: Eukaryota; Metazoa; Chordata; Lepidosauria; Squamata; Agamidae. The record is from Rfam by way of RNAcentral.
ACUCAUACCUGGCAGGGGAGAUACCAUAAUCAUGAAAGUGGUUUUCCCAGGGUAAGGCUCAUCCAUUGCACUUCGGGUGUGUGAUCCCUGUGAUUUCCCCAAAUCUGGGAAAAUCAGCUUCCUAAUUUGUGGUGGUAGGGGACUGCAUUCGUGGUUUCCCCUG